Myodes glareolus (Bank vole) is the source of this 165-nucleotide small nuclear RNA. RefSeq annotates it as U1 spliceosomal RNA. The record is from RefSeq and is a predicted model, not a curated record. NCBI's taxonomy places the organism in Eukaryota, Metazoa, Chordata, Mammalia, Rodentia, Cricetidae.
UGAUUCAGCUGGCAGAGGAGCUACUGUGGUCAUGAAGACAGUGUGCCCAGGGUGAGCCUUACCUAGUGCCCUCCAGGUGGGCUCACCCCUCCGAUUUCCCCAAAUAUGCGAAAUUUGACUACAUAUUUUGUGAAAUUGGGGGACAGCCAUGUUCAGGGGCUCCCA